UGGGGAAUUUUGGACAAUGGGCGCAAGCCUGAUCCAGCCAUGCCGCGUGCGGGAAGAAGGCCUUCGGGUUGUAAACCGCUUUUGUCAGGGAAGAAACUUCUGAGUUAAUACCUCGGGAGGAUGACGGUACCUGAAGAAUAAGCACCGGCUAACUACGUGCCAGCAGCCGCGGUAAUACGUAGGGUGCAAGCGUUAAUCGGAAUUACUGGGCGUAAAGCGUGCGCAGGCGGUUUUGUAAGACAGAGGUGAAAUCCCCGGGCUCAACCUGGGAACUGCCUUUGUGACUGCAAGGCUUGAGUGCGGCAGAGGGGGAUGGAAUUCCGCGUGUAGCAGUGAAAUGCGUAGAUAUGCGGAGGAACACCGAUGGCGAAGGCAAUCCCCUGGGCCUGCACUGACGCUCAUGCACGAAAGCGUGGGGAGCAAACAGGAUUAGAUACCCUGGUAGUCCACGCCCUAAAACGAUGUCAACUGGUUGUUGGGAAGGUUCCUUCUCAGUAACGUAGCUAACGCGUGAAGUUGACCGCCUGGGGAGUACGGCCGCAAGGUUGAAACUAAAGGAAUUGACGGGGUCA
Molecule: ribosomal RNA, 572 nt
Filed under: uncultured bacterium
Lineage: Bacteria
Description: partial 16S ribosomal RNA
Rfam family: Bacterial small subunit ribosomal RNA
Source: RNAcentral